UACUGAUCCAGUCGUAGCUCCAAAGCAAUCCACAUUUAGCUCGAAAACUGUUAAAUUCCUGCAACAAAAAAAACCAUCCAACGAUUCAAAUCAAUCGAAUGAGCGAAUUUUUUUAAUCAAAUCAUCGUGUAAAUGUGAUGACUGUGGAAUUAAUUGACCAGUGGAUAAGUUAAUUGUGGAGAUAAUUGGCCAGUGUAUUGAAGCAAACCACCUCCAAAUUGACCUAGGAAGCUAAUAAAAUGUCCAUGAAGUGAUUCAUUGUGCCCUGGAUGAAUUAAAAUAAGAAAUGGAGUGUUUCAGCAUGCAGCAUGGCCAUCAAGAAAAGCUGCUGAAGACGUGCCAGAAACUUGUACACCAAGAAGACCUUCACUUUUCAUCAGGCAAAGUUGAGCAACUUAUUCGAUGCAGUGUCAGAAAAGUUGCAUAUUUGAGAACAAAUAUGGCAUUAAAAAUCAAUGAAACUCCUACGAAGUGUAUUCAAUCGCUCGCGUAUUUUCUUAUUGAAUAAAAUCAACCAAAGGAAGCUCUAAAUGGAAAUUUUCUUCACCUAUCUCGACCUCAUUGACGCCGAACCCUUUGAUGGACGUAUUCAGCUCAAUCGUACUACCUACGAAUUGUUCUAAAUUUAUCUCGAGCUUUCCAUCAAGGACACUCGAUCGCGACAUCGACAUCGUCCGCACCAAGUUGAGCUUUUUUAUUCAAUAUUCAUAUACGACCAGUCGAAGUGUGCUCUAAUAUGCCAUUAAUCACGACGAAUUCGACACCAUUUCUUAAAUGACCCGCGAGAUAUGCACCGGCGGCCCGGGCGCAGGCAUCCAAGCGUUAAUAAAAUAGUCUCGAUAAAGCUCAUGCAUAAAAAAAAAAGCAAAAAACCUAUUCAAAGAUACGUAUACACAUCUAUAAGUACUAUUCUAAUGGUAAUCGGUCGCGGUCGCGUAUAAAA
This is a long non-coding RNA of Planococcus citri (citrus mealybug), 943 nucleotides long. RefSeq lists it as uncharacterized. Lineage: Eukaryota; Metazoa; Arthropoda; Insecta; Hemiptera; Pseudococcidae. The record is from RefSeq and is a predicted model, not a curated record. The transcript has 3 exons.